Non-coding RNA from Nocardioides sp. Leaf285, 371 nucleotides. It matches the Rfam family "transfer-messenger RNA". Rfam says of the family: Bacterial tmRNA, also known as 10Sa RNA or SsrA, is named for its dual tRNA and mRNA-like properties. Its role is to liberate the mRNA from a stalled ribosome. The record is from Rfam. NCBI's taxonomy places the organism in Bacteria, Bacillati, Actinomycetota, Actinomycetes, Propionibacteriales, Nocardioidaceae.
GGGGCUGAUCGGUUUCGACUUGGGACGUUAGUCCCAGGGGAAGCGGGUCGAGGAGCCAGCGUCAUCUCGUAAACGAUCGCUGGAAACCAAUAACUGCCAACGCUAAGCGCAGUUCCUUCGCUCUCGCCGCCUGAGCGGUGAUCGAAGCGUCAGACCGGGCAUCCGUCUCCGUCCCGGACCCUGGCGUCAUCUAGGAGACUUGCUGCUCAACUCCUGUCAGGGGGGUUGAUCGGGACUCAAUCCUGACUGGGCCUGUCGGCGACGCGUCUGCGCGAGCGCCGGGGCCGAGAAAAGCGACAUCGCAGACUGCACCCGGAGAAGACCUGGUUCGACGCUCGAGGACGCGGGUUCGAUUCCCGCCAGCUCCACCA